RNAcentral lists this ribosomal RNA (321 nucleotides) under uncultured beta proteobacterium. RNAcentral describes it as "bacterial SSU rRNA". It matches the Rfam family "Bacterial small subunit ribosomal RNA", at positions 284 to 598 of the family's 1533-position model. Lineage: Bacteria; Pseudomonadati; Pseudomonadota; Betaproteobacteria. The record is from RNAcentral.
UAGCUGGUCUGAGAGGAUGAUCAGCCACACUGGGACUGAGACACGGCCCAGACUCCUACGGGAGGCAGCAGUGGGGAAUUUUGGACAAUGGGCGCAAGCCUGAUCCAGCCAUGCCGCGUGAGUGAAGAAGGCCUUCGGGUUGUAAAGCUCUUUCGGCCGGAACGAAAUCGUCCGGGCUAAUACCCCGGAUGGAUGACGGUACCGGAAGAAGAACACCGGCUAACUACGUGCCAGCAGCCGCGGUAAUACGUAGGGUGCAGGCGUUAAUCGGAAUUACUGGGCGUAAAGCGUGCGCAGGCGGCUUCCUAAGUCAGAUGUGAA